Molecule: ribosomal RNA, 1359 nt
Filed under: uncultured bacterium
Lineage: Bacteria
Description: bacterial SSU rRNA
Rfam family: Bacterial small subunit ribosomal RNA
Source: RNAcentral
GAUGAACGCUAGCUACAGGCUUAACACAUGCAAGUCGAGGGGCAGCAUUUCAGUUUGCUUGCAAACUGGAGAUGGCGACCGGCGCACGGGUGAGUAACACGUAUCCAACCUGCCGAUAACUCGGGGAUAGCCUUUCGAAAGAAAGAUUAAUACCCGAUGGUAUAAUCAGACCGCAUGGUCUUGUUAUUAAAGAAUUUCGGUUAUCGAUGGGGAUGCGUUCCAUUAGGCAGUUGGUGAGGUAACGGCUCACCAAACCUUCGAUGGAUAGGGGUUCUGAGAGGAAGGUCCCCCACAUUGGAACUGAGACACGGUCCAAACUCCUACGGGAGGCAGCAGUGAGGAAUAUUGGUCAAUGGGCGCAGGCCUGAACCAGCCAAGUAGCGUGAAGGAUGACUGCCCUAUGGGUUGUAAACUUCUUUUAUAUGGGAAUAAAGUUUUCCACGUGUGGAAUUUUGUAUGUACCAUAUGAAUAAGGAUCGGCUAACUCCGUGCCAGCAGCCGCGGUAAUACGGAGGAUCCGAGCGUUAUCCGGAUUUAUUGGGUUUAAAGGGAGCGUAGGUGGACAGUUAAGUCAGUUGUGAAAGUUUGCGGCUCAACCGUAAAAUUGCAGUUGAUACUGGCUGUCUUGAGUACAGUAGAGGUGGGCGGAAUUCGUGGUGUAGCGGUGAAAUGCUUAGAUAUCACGAAGAACUCCGAUUGCGAAGGCAGCUCACUGGACUGCAACUGACACUGAUGCUCGAAAGUGUGGGUAUCAAACAGGAUUAGAUACCCUGGUAGUCCACACAGUAAACGAUGAAUACUCGCUGUUUGCGAUAUACAGUAAGCGGCCAAGCGAAAGCAUUAAGUAUUCCACCUGGGGAGUACGCCGGCAACGGUGAAACUCAAAGGAAUUGACGGGGGCCCGCACAAGCGGAGGAACAUGUGGUUUAAUUCGAUGAUACGCGAGGAACCUUACCCGGGCUUAAAUUGCAUUUGAAUAUAUUGGAAACAGUAUAGCCGUAAGGCAAAUGUGAAGGUGCUGCAUGGUUGUCGUCAGCUCGUGCCGUGAGGUGUCGGCUUAAGUGCCAUAACGAGCGCAACCCUUAUCUUUAGUUACUAACAGGUCAUGCUGAGGACUCUAGAGAGACUGCCGUCGUAAGAUGUGAGGAAGGUGGGGAUGACGUCAAAUCAGCACGGCCCUUACGUCCGGGGCUACACACGUGUUACAAUGGGGGGUACAGAAGGCAGCUACCUGGUGACAGGAUGCUAAUCCCAAAAGCCUCUCUCAGUUCGGAUCGAAGUCUGCAACCCGACUUCGUGAAGCUGGAUUCGCUAGUAAUCGCGCAUCAGCCAUGGCGCGGUGAAUACGUUCACGGGCCU